GAUGAACGCUGGCGGCGUGCUUAACACAUGCAAGUCGAACGAUGAAGCCCAGCUUGCUGGGUGGAUUAGUGGCGAACGGGUGAGUAACACGUGAGUAACCUGCCCUUAACUCUGGGAUAAGCCUGGGAAACUGGGUCUAAUACCGGAUAGGAGCGUCCACCGCAUGGUGGGUGUUGGAAAGAUUUAUCGGUUUUGGAUGGACUCGCGGCCUAUCAGCUUGUUGGUGAGGUAAUGGCUCACCAAGGCGACGACGGGUAGCCGGCCUGAGAGGGUGACCGGCCACACGGGGACUGGGAAACGGCCCAGACCCCUACGGGAGGCAGCAGGGGGGAAUAUUGCAAAAGGGGCGAAAGCCUGAUGCAGCGACCCCGGGGGGGGGAUGACGGCCUUCGGGUUGUAAACCUCUUUCAGGGGGGAAGAAGCGAAAGUGACGGUACCUGCAGAAGAAGCACCGGCUAACUACGU
RNAcentral lists this ribosomal RNA (465 nucleotides) under uncultured bacterium. Its description in RNAcentral is "partial 16S ribosomal RNA". It matches the Rfam family "Bacterial small subunit ribosomal RNA", at positions 28 to 506 of the family's 1533-position model. The record is from RNAcentral.